RNAcentral lists this ribosomal RNA (397 nucleotides) under uncultured Glomeromycotina. Its description in RNAcentral is "SSU rRNA". It matches the Rfam family "Eukaryotic small subunit ribosomal RNA", at positions 569 to 971 of the family's 1831-position model. Lineage: Eukaryota; Fungi; Glomeromycota. The record is from RNAcentral.
AGCAGCCGCGGUAAUUCCAGCUCCAAUAGCGUAUAUUAAAGUUGUUGCAGUUAAAAAGCUCGUAGUUGAAUUUCGGGGUCAGUAGGUUGGUCGUGCCACAGGUAUGAACUGGCCUCACUGAUUCCUCCUUCCUGAUGAACCGUAAUGCCAUUAAUUUGGUGUUGCGGGGAGACUGGACUGUUACUUUGAAAAAUUAGAGUGUUUAAAGCAGGCUAACGCUUGAAUACAUUAGCAUGGAAUAAUGAAAUAGGACGUUCGGUCUUAUUUUGUUGGUUUCUAAGAUUGACGUAAUGAUUAAUAGGGAUAGUUGGGGGCAUUAGUAUUCAAUUGUCAGAGGUGAAAUUCUUGGAUUUAUUGAAGACUAACUACUGCGAAAGCAUUUGCCAAGGAUGUUUUC